AUUGAACGCUGGCGGCAUGCUUUACACAUGCAAGUCGAACGGCAGCGCGGGGGCAACCCUGGCGGCGAGUGGCGAACGGGUGAGUAAUGCAUCGGAACGUAUCCUGUAAUGGGGGAUAACUAAUCGAAAGAUUAGCUAAUACCGCAUACGCUCGGGAGAGGAAAGUGGGGGAUCGCAAGACCUCACGUUAUAGGAUCGGCCGAUGUCUGAUUAGCUAGUUGGUGAGGUAAAGGCUCACCAAGGCGACGAUCAGUAGCUGGUCUUAGAGGAUGAUCAGCGACACUGGGACAGAGACACGGCCCAGACUCCUACGGGAGGCAGCAGUGGGGAAUUUUGGACAAUGGGGGCAACCCUGAUCCAGCCAUGCCGCGUGCGGGAAGAAGGCCUUCGGGUUGUAAAUCGCUUUAGUCUAGGAAAAAGGAAUGCAGGAUUAAUACCCUUGUGUUUUGAUGGUACUGGAAGAAUAAGCACCGGCUAACUACGUGCCAGCCGCCGCGGUAA
RNAcentral lists this ribosomal RNA (501 nucleotides) under uncultured bacterium. RNAcentral describes it as "partial 16S ribosomal RNA". It matches the Rfam family "Bacterial small subunit ribosomal RNA", at positions 30 to 523 of the family's 1533-position model. The record is from RNAcentral.